RNAcentral lists this ribosomal RNA (253 nucleotides) under uncultured bacterium. RNAcentral describes it as "partial 16S ribosomal RNA". It matches the Rfam family "Bacterial small subunit ribosomal RNA", at positions 524 to 776 of the family's 1533-position model. The record is from RNAcentral.
UACGUAGGAUGCAAGCGUUGUCCGGAAUUAUUGGGCGUAAAGAGCGCGCAGGCGGUAUGACAAGUCAGAUGUGAAAGAGGCCGGCUUAACCGGCAAGGGUCAUUUGAAACUGUCAGACUAGAGUGCAGCAGAGGAUAGUGGAAUUCCCGGUGUAGUGGUGAAAUGCGUAGAUAUCGGGAGGAACACCAGUGGCGAAGGCGACUAUCUGGGCUGCAACUGACGCUGAGGCGCGGAGGCUAGGGUAGCAAACAGG